GUUCACAUUGGCAGCACAUAUAUGAAAAUCAUAACAAUGCACAGAAGAUUAGCAUGGCCCUUCUGCAAGGAUGACACUCAAAUUUGUGAAGCGUUCCAUACUUUU
Molecule: small nuclear RNA, 105 nt
Organism: Peromyscus californicus insignis
Lineage: Eukaryota; Metazoa; Chordata; Mammalia; Rodentia; Cricetidae
Source: RefSeq, a predicted model, not a curated record